UCAUGGUCAUGCUACCUGUGGGCUGGACGAGCCCACCACCCCGUCCUUGCAAGGGGGCGGGGGGCACUCACCGUGACGCACCACUCAUCCUCUGUUCUAGAUCUACCUCCACAUUACUUUCUGAGACACGAGGCCGGGAGGGGAAUGGAGACAGAAAGGGAGCAGCAGAGUUCAGCAAGAAGCACAGGUACAGGUCUGAAUGAAUGGAACUCCUCCCUCUUGACAAGUUCCCUGUGUGCUGAGCAUGCAAUGAUGAGGGUCUCCUUCUCCUCUCCUGGAGCUUCAAAACUAAACGGCCUCUCCUAGAAGGGCUUGGUAAUUUCUUCUCCAGUGACUAGCAAAAUGAGGUAGCUCCCAGUCCAAGAACCAGAGCUGAUUUAGUCCAGCUUUCACCUAUGGAGCAUCUACAAACUCUUGUUGUCUCAGCCUAGCUGCUUUGUUACCCCCAGCAUGAAAAAGCAUAUAGGCUCAGCAAACAACUUGCCAUGCAAUGGCCAAGGCAUUUUCCAUGGAUCCCAUUCUCUUUUUAAAAGAUUUUAUUUAUUUAUUUAUGAGAGACAAGCAGAGAGAGGCAGAGACAUAGGUAGAAUGAGAAGCAGGCUCCAUGCAGGGAGCCUGAUGAAGAACUUGAUCCCCAGAACCUGGAAUCAUGCCCUGAGCUGAAGGCAGAUGCUCAACCACUGAACCACCUGGGCGUCCCUUCCAUGGAUCUCUUAACACAAGGCAAGUGAAUCUGGUUCAACUUCAAAGCUCUGUGCCCCCAACCCACUGCCUCACCCAUCCCCAAGGAACACAGAAACCAGCUACUCUGUUCUCAUCCUCCCACACCCCUGUGGCCCUUCAGUGUCUUCCAAACCAAAAAGAGACCUACCACUUCCAGGGGGUAAACAAGGAAGUAGAAGAUAGAAAUUGAAGUAGACUCCCUAAAAGAACCAAUGGACAAUCUUUCCAUACCUUCCUUCAACACUAAGCAGUAGCUAAGCACCCAAGCCGUACGGAACAGGAGCUUGUAUUGACAGAGCAGCUUUUGGCGUCUCAUCACAGGUUGGCCAGGGUCCUUCCCCAGAGGGGAAUAUUUUGCUGUGAGUAAAUCUCAAGGAAUGGCCUCAUCCAACCUCCCACCUCAGAGGAAUCAGAACUGACAGGCAAAUUCCCAGUACCAGAGAAAAGCAACAAGGUUGAAGGGUGACCGAGGGUUUCCUGAGCUUUUGUUGAAGGCCACAGGUAUUCACAAACUCUUGUCGCUCUUUACUCAAGAUGUCAUGGAUGCUUUCUGAAAGGCAGGCUGGAGUGCAGGAAGAUGAAAUGGAUUAACCGUUCUGAGGACAGGCAGUGAUUAUGACCCAAGCCCCCAGGACCCUGAGGCUGCCAUCCAACCACUCAUCUAAUGCCACUUGUCUUGCAAUCCAAAGGACAGACAUGUGGUACAGAUAACAAGUCAGAAACUGGACAGAGCCAGCAAACGCUCUGAAAUGUGUUCUCCGCAAUGGGAGUGGGCUCCCCUCCGUCCACUGGGCUCAAUGCAGGGAAGGGCUUAUUACAUCUUGUGCACUGCAGUAUCCCUGACACCAAGCACAGUGCCUGGCACAUAGUUGGUGACCCAUACAUCUUUACUGAAUGACUGAGACUCUCCGCACCUUCUCUAUCCUGGAGCUAAGUCCGUGCACGGACACCAAGCAAGAUCAACUCCAUUUCAGUGGGCACUAAACCUAUGACCCUGGCUACUUUCUUCUGCUGCACUGAUGUGGGUGUAACUACAGAACUUGGGCCAACAUGGUCAGAACAAGGAAUCCGAGUGAGGAGGGGUCUGGUGAAGAUGGAGGGAGGGACUGGGAGCAGUCACUGAACUGAGAGCUUCAUGCCUUCUGGACUGGGGGCACCAGACUGCUGAUGCAUGAGAGGCAGUCAGACUCAGAAGAUUCCCUGCAGGAAGGAAGGGUCUUGAGCCAUCCUAAAGCAAGCGAUUCGUCCCUUGAUUCAAGAUCCAAGAUGAGUCACUCUAAACAGUAACUUGUGAAACACUCAGAAGUAAUCGAGUAGAUUCUUCCUCCAGAAGCUCUUGGGAGGAAUCAUGAUUUUAUGAGAAGUAUUAGUAUCGCUGUGGUUGCUACUACUCUUACUGCCACGAUUUUCUUGUCUGACUCACAAUGUUUCCCUUUGGCUUAAACUUCUUCUUGGAUCUGCCUAGGAGAUCAUUCAGGAAGAGAGACCAGCACUCUCUCCCCCAGCCCUCAGAUUUGUUUGAAGAGAUCUGUAUGAAUCUGGAGAGAGAGAGAGAGACAGAUCUCGGUCCCAAGGUUGGGCAGAGCUACUGCAGCUGCAAGGUUAUAGGCCCAUAAAUAAAGUUUAUGGUUAAACUGGU
Long non-coding RNA from Canis lupus familiaris (dog), 2362 nucleotides. RefSeq lists it as uncharacterized. The transcript has 2 exons. Lineage: Eukaryota; Metazoa; Chordata; Mammalia; Carnivora; Canidae. The record is from RefSeq and is a predicted model, not a curated record.